GAUGAAGAACGUAGUGAAAUGCGAUAAGUAGUGUGAAUUGCAGAAUUCAGUGAAUCAUCGAAUCUUUGAACGCACAUUGCGCCCCUUGGUAUUCCAUGGGGCAUGCCUGUUCGAGCGUCAUUUGUACCUUCAAGCUCUGCUUGGUGUUGGGUGUUUGUCUCGCCUCUGCGUGUAGACUCGCCUCAAAACAAUUGGCAGCCGGCGUAUUGAUUUCGGAGCGCAGUACAUCUCGCGCUUUGCACUCAUAACGACGACGUCCAAAAGUACAUUUUUACACUCUUGACCUCGGAUCAGGUAGGGAUACCCGCUGAACUUAAGCAUAUCAAUAAGCGGAGA
Molecule: unclassified non-coding RNA, 336 nt
Filed under: soil metagenome
Description: partial contains 5.8S ribosomal RNA, internal transcribed spacer 2, and large subunit ribosomal RNA
Rfam family: 5.8S ribosomal RNA (bases 1-120)
Source: RNAcentral